CUCUUGGGAGGUGGAAGACUAAGUCACUGGGCGCAUGUCUUUGAAGGGUACAUCUGGUCCUUGGCCCCUUCCUCUCAGGCUCUUUCACCAUCUCUUCUUCCUGUUUGCUAUGAGGAAUGACAGCAUCAGUAGAAGCUGAAGUCACUGCUGGAUAAACAUGAGAUGAACAUCAGUGGAAAAUCAGCUUCUGGGUUAUAAAGAAAAUGGAGAAAGUCUUAUAAGCACAACAGAUUGGAAAACUAAAAUAAAGAUACAUCUGUGUUUCCCAGGUUUCACAGAGCCCAUAACCGAUUAACAAACCCACUGC
This 307-nucleotide long non-coding RNA is filed under the name Heterocephalus glaber (naked mole-rat). Its description in RNAcentral is "lncRNA (ENSHGLG00000043347.1)". Lineage: Eukaryota; Metazoa; Chordata; Mammalia; Rodentia; Bathyergidae. The record is from RNAcentral.